UACAGAGGUCCCAAGCGUUGUUCGGAUUCAUUGGGCGUAAAGGGUGCGUAGGCGGCGCGGUAAGUCGGGUGUGAAAUCUCGGAGCUUAACUCCGAAACUGCAUUCGAUACUGCCGUGCUUGAGGACUGGAGAGGAGACUGGAAUUUACGGUGUAGCGGUGAAAUGCGUAGAUAUCGUAAGGAAGACCAGUGCGAAGGCGGGUCUCUGGACAGUUCCUGACGCUGAGGCACGAAGGCCAGGGAGCAAACGGG
This 251-nucleotide ribosomal RNA is filed under the name uncultured bacterium. RNAcentral describes it as "partial 16S ribosomal RNA". It matches the Rfam family "Bacterial small subunit ribosomal RNA", at positions 524 to 776 of the family's 1533-position model. The record is from RNAcentral.